AUGUAUGAUGGCUCAGAAGUGGCAUGCUAUGAUCAGCUACGUUUAACCAAAAGAAACUUUCAUGAUUUAUGCACCAUGUUGCGUGAGAGGUGUGGUCUAAGUGGUAGUGUGUAUGUGACUGUGGAAGAAAAGGUUGCCAUGUUCUUGCUAGUAAUGGGUCACGGUCUGAAAAUGAGGUUGCUUCGAGGCACAUACAAGCAGUCUUUGGGAACUAUAAGUACUCACUUUUCCGCAGUCUUAAGUGCCAUUCUAUCUAUGCAUGGGGAGUUCAUUAAGCUUCCAGAUGCUAAUGUUCAACCUCCCGAUGAUUACAAAUGGAAGUGGUUUGGUGAUGCACUUGGAGCACUAGAUGGUUGUCAUGUAGACGUUUCAGUUCCCGUGGCUGCCCAAGGGAGGUACAGGAAUAGAAAGCAAGCUGUCACUACUAACAUGCUCGGUGUGGUGGACUGGAACAUGAAAUUUCUGUAUGUCUUACCUGGCAGGGAGGGUUCCGCUUCCGACUCAAGAGUCCUCCGUGACUCCAUGAGAACUGAUCGCCAAGAUGCAUUUGUUGUACCUCAUGGAAAAUAUUACUUGGCUGAUGCUGGUUACACGAAUGGGCCUGGAUUUCUAGCUCCAUUCAGAUCCACUCAGUAUCACUUGAAAGAGUGGGCAUCAAGUCAGCAACAACCCCAAACUGCCAAAGAGUUAUAUAACUUGCGCCAUUCUCGUGCUAGAAAUGUAGUAGAGAGAACUUUUGGGUUGUGGAAGAAGAAGUGGGGUAUCCUUCGCACUCAAAGUUUCUUUGAUACAAAGGACCAGGUACAUGUGUCCAUUGGGUUUUCAAUACGAUGCCUAGCGGAGUGA
This 846-nucleotide ribosomal RNA is filed under the name Triticum aestivum (bread wheat). Its description in RNAcentral is "partial small subunit ribosomal RNA". Lineage: Eukaryota; Viridiplantae; Streptophyta; Magnoliopsida; Poales; Poaceae. The record is from RNAcentral.